GAUGAACGCUGGCGGCGUGCCUAAUACAUGCAAGUCGAGCGAACAGACGAGGAGCUUGCUCCUCUGACGUUAGCGGCGGACGGGUGAGUAACACGUGGAUAACCUACCUAUAAGACUGGGAUAACUUCGGGAAACCGGAGCUAAUACCGGAUAAUAUAUUGAACCGCAUGGUUCAAUAGUGAAAGACGGUUUUGCUGUCACUUAUAGAUGGAUCCGCGCCGCAUUAGCUAGUUGGUAAGGUAACGGCUUACCAAGGCAACGAUGCGUAGCCGACCUGAAAGGGUGAUCGGCCACACUGGAACUGAGACACGGUCCAGACUCCUACGGGAGGCAGCAGUAGGGAAUCUUCCGCAAUGGGCGAAAGCCCGACGGAGCAAUGCCGCGUGAGUGAUGAAGGUCUUCGGAUCGUAAAACUCUGUUAUUAGGGAAGAACAAAUGUGUAAGUAACUAUGCACGUCUUGACGGUACCUAAUCAGAAAGCCACGGCUAACUACGUG
This 497-nucleotide ribosomal RNA is filed under the name uncultured bacterium. RNAcentral describes it as "partial 16S ribosomal RNA". It matches the Rfam family "Bacterial small subunit ribosomal RNA", at positions 28 to 507 of the family's 1533-position model. The record is from RNAcentral.